UAGGGAAUCUUCCGCAAUGGGCGAAAGCCUGACGGAGCAACGCCGCGUGAGUGAUGAAGGCCUUCGGAUCGUAAAACUCUGUUAUUAGGGAAGAACAAAUGUGUAAGUAACUAUGCACGUCUUGACGGUACCUAAUCAGAAAGCCACGGCUAACUACGUGCCAGCAGCCGCGGUAAUACGCAGGUGGCAAGCGUUAUCCGGAAUUAUUGGGCGUAAAGCGCGCGUAGGCGGUUUUUUAAGUCUGAUGUGAAAGCCCACGGCUCAACCGUGGAGGGUCAUUGGAAACUGGGAAGCUUGAGUGCAGAAGAUGAAAGUGGAAUUCCAUGUGUAGCGGUGAAAUGCGCAGAGAUAUGAAUGCAUACCAGUGGCGAAGGCGACUUUCUGGUCUGUAACUGACGCUGAUGUGCGAAAGCGUGGGGAUCAAACAGG
RNAcentral lists this ribosomal RNA (429 nucleotides) under Actinomycetes bacterium. RNAcentral's name for it is "Actinobacteria bacterium partial 16S ribosomal RNA". It matches the Rfam family "Bacterial small subunit ribosomal RNA", at positions 355 to 776 of the family's 1533-position model. The record is from RNAcentral. Lineage: Bacteria; Bacillati; Actinomycetota; Actinomycetes.